AGCAGUGGGGAAUAUUGGACAAUGGGGGGAACCCUGAUCCAGCCAUGCCGCGUGUGUGAAGAAGGCCUUUUGGUUGUAAAGCACUUUAAGCGAGGAGGAGGCUCUUAUAGUUAAUACCUAGGAUGAGUGGACGUUACUCGCAGAAUAAGCACCGGCUAACUCUGUGCCAGCAGCCGCGGUAAUACAGAGGGUGCGAGCGUUAAUCGGAUUUACUGGGCGUAAAGCGUACGUAGGCGGCUUUUUAAGUCGGAUGUGAAAUCCCUGAGCUUAACUUAGGAAUUGCAUUCGAUACUGGGAAGCUAGAGUAUGGGAGAGGAUGGUAGAAUUCCAGGUGUAGCGGUGAAAUGCGUAGAGAUCUGGAGGAAUACCGAUGGCGAAGGCAGCCAUCUGGCCUAAUACUGACGCUGAGGUACGAAAGCAUGGGGAGCAAACAGGAUUAGAUACCCUGGUAGUCCAUGCCGUAAACGAUGUCUACUAGCCGUUGGGGCCUUUGAGGCUUUAGUGGCGCAGCUAACGCGAUAAGUAGACC
Molecule: ribosomal RNA, 529 nt
Filed under: uncultured Gammaproteobacteria bacterium
Lineage: Bacteria; Pseudomonadati; Pseudomonadota; Gammaproteobacteria
Description: bacterial SSU rRNA
Rfam family: Bacterial small subunit ribosomal RNA
Source: RNAcentral